This 200-nucleotide ribosomal RNA is filed under the name uncultured bacterium. RNAcentral describes it as "partial 16S ribosomal RNA". It matches the Rfam family "Bacterial small subunit ribosomal RNA", at positions 8 to 234 of the family's 1533-position model. The record is from RNAcentral.
AGAGUUUGAUCCUGGCUCAGAACGAACGCUGGCGGCAGGCCUAACACAUGCAAGUCGAACGGGCGUAGCAAUACGUUAGUGGCGCACGGGAGAGUAACGCGUGGGAACCUUCCUUUUGGUUCGGAAUAACACCGGGAAACUGGUGCUAAUACCGGAUAAGCCCCUUGGGGGAAAGAUUUAUCGCCGAAAGAUGGGCCCGC